Molecule: ribosomal RNA, 508 nt
Filed under: uncultured Bacillota bacterium
Lineage: Bacteria; Bacillati; Bacillota
Description: bacterial SSU rRNA
Rfam family: Bacterial small subunit ribosomal RNA
Source: RNAcentral
UACGGGAGGCAGCAGUGGGGGAUAUUGCACAAUGGAGGAAACUCUGAUGCAGCAACGCCGCGUGAGGGAAGACGGUUUUCGGAUUGUAAACCUCUGUCCUUGGUGAAGAUAAUGACGGUAGCCAAGGAGGAAGCUCCGGCUAACUACGUGCCAGCAGCCGCGGUAAUACGUAGGGAGCAAGCGUUGUCCGGAUUUACUGGGUGUAAAGGGUGCGUAGGCGGCUCUGCAAGUCAGGCGUGAAAUAUAUGGGCUUAACCCAUAGACUGCGUUUGAAACUGUGGAGCUUGAGUGAAGUAGAGGUAGGCGGAAUUCCCGGUGUAGCGGUGAAAUGCGUAGAGAUCGGGAGGAACACCAGUGGCGAAGGCGGCCUACUGGGCUUUAACUGACGCUGAGGCACGAAAGCAUGGGUAGCAAACAGGAUUAGAUACCCUGGUAGUCCAUGCCGUAAACGAUGAUUACUAGGUGUGGGGGGUCUGACCCCUUCCGUGCCGGAGUUAACACAAUAAGU